UAAGUGUACCAGAAGGUGCACUUGGAUCACAAAGCGUAGCUUAAUACAUAAAGCCCCUUGUUUACACCAAGACUAUAUUUGUUUAAACCAAAUCGCUUUGAGCUAAAAAUCUAGCCUAUCAACUUCUUAUACCUAUUUUACUAAUAAAUUUAAGCAAAACAUUCUCAACUUCUAGUAAAGGCGAUAGAAAAAAUUCUUAGAGCUUUAACUUAAGUACCGCAAGGGAAUGAUGAAAUAUUAUGAAAAAUUUAAGCAUAAAAAAGUAAAGGUUAACUCUUGUACCUUUUGCAUCAUGGUCUAGCAAGUCUUUAUCAAGCAAAGAGACUCUCUAGUUUGACCCCCCGAAACUAGGCGAGCUACUUCAAAACAGCCUUUUGGGCUAACCCGUCUCUGUAGCAAAAGAGUGGGAAGAUUUUUAAGUAGAAGCGAAAAACCUAUCGAGCCUAGAGAUAGCUGGUUAUUUAGGAAAAGAAUUUUAGUUCUGCCUUAAGCUUUUUUAUUACUAAUAACAAAUCUUUAAGCUUAAGAUUUAUUCCAACAGGGCACAGCCUAUUGGAAAAAGGAUACAGCCUAAAAAUAUGGGUAAGUUUUACUAUCUUAAUAAGUG
Molecule: ribosomal RNA, 607 nt
Filed under: Ingerana borealis (Rotung oriental frog)
Lineage: Eukaryota; Metazoa; Chordata; Amphibia; Anura; Dicroglossidae
Description: partial 16S ribosomal RNA
Rfam family: Bacterial large subunit ribosomal RNA (bases 261-607)
Source: RNAcentral